UAGUGGCGAACGGGUGAGUAACACGUGGGCAAUCUGCCCUUCACUCUGGGACAAGCCCUGGAAACGGGGUCUAAUACCGGAUAACACUCCUGCCUGCAUGGGUGGGGGUUAAAAGCUCCGGCGGUGAAGGAUGAGCCCGCGGCCUAUCAGCUUGUUGGUGGGGUAAUGGCCCACCAAGGCGACGACGGGUAGCCGGCCUGAGAGGGCGACCGGCCACACUGGGACUGAGACACGGCCCAGACUCCUACGGGAGGCAGCAGUGGGGAAUAUUGCACAAUGGGCGAAAGCCUGAUGCAGCGACGCCGCGUGAGGGAUGACGGCCUUCGGGUUGUAAACCUCUUUCAGCAGGGAAGAAGCGAAAGUGACGGUACCUGCAGAAGAAGCGCCGGCUAACUACGUGCCAGCAGCCGGGGUAAUACGUAGGGCGCAAGCGUUGUCCGGAAUUAUUGGGCGUAAAGAGCUCGUAGGCGGCUUGUCACGUCGGAUGUNAAAGCCCGAGGCUUAACCUCGGGUCUGCAUUCGAUACGGGCUAGCUAGAGUGNGGNAGGGGNGAUCGGAAUUCCU
This 564-nucleotide ribosomal RNA is filed under the name Streptomyces sp. 340H10. Its description in RNAcentral is "bacterial SSU rRNA". It matches the Rfam family "Bacterial small subunit ribosomal RNA", at positions 93 to 671 of the family's 1533-position model. The record is from RNAcentral. Lineage: Bacteria; Bacillati; Actinomycetota; Actinomycetes; Kitasatosporales; Streptomycetaceae.